RNAcentral lists this ribosomal RNA (1107 nucleotides) under Triticum aestivum (bread wheat). RNAcentral's name for it is "partial small subunit ribosomal RNA". The record is from RNAcentral. Lineage: Eukaryota; Viridiplantae; Streptophyta; Magnoliopsida; Poales; Poaceae.
AUGUGCAUCCCAAAGAAGAAUGGACGCAUGGGGUUUAGAGACCUACACAGUUUCAAUCUUGCUUUAUUAGCAAAACAGUGUUGGCGACUACUCCAGAACCCUGAAUCUUUGUGUGCACUGGUCCUUAGUGCAAAAUAUUAUCCGAACGGUAACAUUCUUAAUGCGGGACCAAAGAAAGGCUCCUCUUUUACUUGGCAGAGCAUUGUGAUGGGCAUACAAAUUUUUAAGGGAGGAUGUAUCUGGCGGGUGGGCAGAGGCUCACAUAUAAAUAUUUGGAAUGAUCCUUGGAUUCCAACGAGCGAGUCACGGAAAGUUAUCACACCUAGAGGAGCUACGGUGUUGGGGAAAGUAGAAGAAUUGAUAGACCCGCAUUCAGGCAAGUGGGAUGAAGAGUUGCUGCGAUCAGUUUUCAAUCCAGUAGAUGUCUACAGAAUUUUGCAAAUCCCACUUCGGGUGGAGAUGUUGGAGGAUUUCAUAGCGUGGCAUCAUACAAAAUCUGGAUCAUUCUUAGUCAGAUCAGCAUACCAUGUUGAGUUUGAUCAUCAAUAUGGGAAACAAUGGAAUAGGACGGAUGGUCAAGGAAGUCAUCGAGAAAAUGAUAUAUGGAAACAUAUCUGGAGGAUGUGAAUUCCUGGAAAAAUAAAACACUUUAUUUGGAAAGUUCUCAGGGGCGUCCUACCGUGUCGAGGGAUAUUGGCAGGGAGGCACAUACCAACGUCAGCACAAUACCCGAUCUGUGUAGUAGGUAUGGAGGACUCCCAACACUGCUUGUUUACAUGCCAAAGGGCCCUGAGUGUCUGGACCCAGCUUGGGGUAAGGGAGGAAGUAGAAUGUGCUGUUGCCGUAGACCGAUUAGGUGCAAUCACAAUGGAGGUUCUAAUGAGACGCCAGGCAAUGGUGGGUGACCUCCCCUUGGUGGAGCUUAUGGCGGUGGGCAGUUGGUAUAUCUGGUGGCAGCACAGGCAAUAUGUAAAAGGAGAGGAGAUAAGAUCGCAUGUACGUACUGUUAUUUCGAUCAAAGUAUUGGCCACAAAUUUUGUGCGGGCUGAAACCCCAAAUCAAUCUACCCGGGGACGUGAUCACAUGUCGAAAAAGCCAACAAAUUGA